Molecule: small nuclear RNA, 64 nt
Organism: Peromyscus leucopus (white-footed mouse)
Lineage: Eukaryota; Metazoa; Chordata; Mammalia; Rodentia; Cricetidae
Product: U7 small nuclear RNA
Exons: 1
Source: RefSeq, a predicted model, not a curated record
CAGUGUUACAGCUCUUUUAGAAUUUGUCUAGCAGGAGCUGGAUGGGCCAGCGGUGUUCUCCAGA